Long non-coding RNA from Mus musculus (house mouse), 921 nucleotides. RefSeq annotates it as predicted gene, 52922. The record is from RefSeq and is a predicted model, not a curated record. Lineage: Eukaryota; Metazoa; Chordata; Mammalia; Rodentia; Muridae. The transcript has 3 exons.
AUUACUAACACAGUUAUAAAGCACAGCAGUGAGGAGGAAGAGGAAGACUGGGGGCUUGCUUAAAGAUGUACGAAUGCUGGGCUAGAGUUGAAUCCCAGACUGGUCACUUGGACAGACUCUGGAUCUAUUCUUGACACUCCUGAGCCUCCAACUCCUCAUCUAGAAGCAUGAAGGCAGUAAUAUCUACCCCAGACAAUGGAAAUGACACGGCAGAGCUCUGCGAAUCAGGAAGAAGGUGACUUGGCCAUGAUGAGAGACUGCACACAGCUACCAUCUUAUCUUCAUAAGCAUGACGGUCACUGUAGAGUCAGCUGUAAGACAGUUAAUAGGACAUGAUAAAGAUGACAAGAUGCUUGGUCAUAUUUCCUGAACAAGCGCUGCAUACAAGUGAGGAAUAAGAGAAGUUGCCCUCCCUCUCCAUACCACAUUUAUCCUAAAUAAGGGUGGGAGGGCAAAAGAAGAGAACAGAAAAAGGUGUGUCCUCAUCUCUUUUGUUUGUCAUCGAUGAGGAAAGAACAAAAAAUACUUCUCUGUCAGGAUGAAGUUCUAUCCACUCAGUGGUCUGAUCAAAGGAUGACUGGGAUCCGUCACGGCUGUGUCUUAUCCUAACUCCACCAGCUGAUCCGGUUUCCAAACUGCUCUGUCUCACCCCAGACUCCUCAAGCUCUUCCUUUUCUUACUCAGAGGCUUCCAGGUAGAGAUUCUGCCUCUCCGACAGCAGGGUCAUGAACCAGGAAGGGCAUCUCUUUGGUCAUAUUGUGCUACAGAGUUAAAUCAACCCACCAAAUUAAAUGGGUAGUUUCAAGUUCACGGAGCAAUGGCAAAAAUCAACCAGGAGGCUUCCUUUGGUACGGAAGGGUGACGUCCAUGUUUCUGCGUGGGUCUCCUUCCUUUCACUGAAGUACACCCAGCUCCAUAUCA